AGGGUUGAGUGCUCACUCUCUAUACUAAAAUGAUAACAAUAUAGAGAUUAGUAUUGCCCCUAUGCAAGGAUGAUGCACAAAUUCAUGAAGUGUUUUAUACUUAA
This is a small nuclear RNA of Molossus molossus (Pallas's mastiff bat), 104 nucleotides long. The record is from RefSeq and is a predicted model, not a curated record. Lineage: Eukaryota; Metazoa; Chordata; Mammalia; Chiroptera; Molossidae.